Molecule: ribosomal RNA, 253 nt
Filed under: uncultured bacterium
Lineage: Bacteria
Description: partial 16S ribosomal RNA
Rfam family: Bacterial small subunit ribosomal RNA
Source: RNAcentral
UACGAAGGGAGCUAGCGUUGUUCGGAAUCACUGGGCGUAAAGCGCACGUAGGCGGAUGUGUCAGUCAGGGGUGAAAUCCCGGAGCUCAACUUCGGAACUGCCCUUGAUACAGCACGUCUUGAGUCCGAGAGAGGUGGAUGGAAUUCCUAGUGUAGAGGUGAAAUUCGUAGAUAUUAGGAAGAACACCGGUGGCGAAGGCGGUCCACUGGCUCGGUACUGACGCUGAGGUGCGAAAGCGUGGGGAGCAAACCGG